This is a non-coding RNA of Octodon degus (degu), 519 nucleotides long. NCBI's taxonomy places the organism in Eukaryota, Metazoa, Chordata, Mammalia, Rodentia, Octodontidae. The record is from the annotation of a RefSeq genome assembly.
UACUGCGGGCUCAGAAGGCAGGACUUAGGGAUGGCCUCCACCAUGGCCUGGUGCCCUCUCCUCUUCAGCCUCCUAGCUCACUGCACAGGUUCCUGGGCUCAGGCUGUGCUGACUCAGCCUCCCUCAGUGUCUGGGUCUCCAGGAGGGACAGUCACCAUCUCUUGCACUGGAAGCAGCAACAAUAUUGGAAACUAUUAUGUCAGCUGGUACCAGCAGCUCUCAGGAAUGGCUCCCAAACUCAUCAUCUAUGGGAAUAGCAAUCGACCAUCUGGGGUCUCUGGUCGGUUCUCUGGCUCCAAAUCUGGCAGCUCAGCCUCCCUGACCGUCAGUGGGUUGCAAUCUGAGGACGAGGCUGAUUAUUUCUGCCAGUCUUAUGAUAGCAGCCUCAGUGCUCACACAGUGCUCCAGCCCCAUGGUGAAGCUAACACAAAAGCUUCUUCCUCUUUUAUCAGGAGGGUGAAUCCCCAGGACCUGUGGCUCAGGCCUGGCCUGUGGUUUUCAUUUUUGCUAUCAGUGUAA